RNAcentral lists this ribosomal RNA (497 nucleotides) under uncultured bacterium. RNAcentral's name for it is "partial 16S ribosomal RNA". It matches the Rfam family "Bacterial small subunit ribosomal RNA", at positions 28 to 507 of the family's 1533-position model. The record is from RNAcentral.
GAUGAACGCUGGCGGCGUGCCUAAUACAUGCAAGUCGAGCGAACGGACGAGAAGCUUGCUUCUCUGAUGUUAGCGGCGGACGGGUGAGUAACACGUGGAUAACCUACCUAUAAGACUGGGAUAACUUCGGGAAACCGGAGCUAAUACCGGAUAAUAUUUUGAACCGCAUGGUUCAAAAGUGAAAGACGGUCUCGCUGUCACUUAUAGAUGGAUCCGCGCUGCAUUAGCUAGUUGGUAAGGUAACGGCUUACCAAGGCAACGAUGCAUAGCCGACCUGAGAGGGUGAUCGGCCACACUGGAACUGAGACACGGUCCAGACUCCUACGGGAGGCAGCAGUAGGGAAUCUUCCGCAAUGGGCGAAAGCCUGACGGAGCAACGCCGCGUGAGUGAUGAAGGUCUUCGGAUCGUAAAACUCUGUUAUUAGGGAAGAACAUAUGUGUAAGUAACUGUGCACAUCGUGACGGUACCUAAUCAGAAAGCCACGGCUAACUACGUG